This 2263-nucleotide long non-coding RNA is filed under the name Eucalyptus grandis. Its description in RNAcentral is "long non-coding RNA (EGRA_LNC004158)". The record is from RNAcentral. Lineage: Eukaryota; Viridiplantae; Streptophyta; Magnoliopsida; Myrtales; Myrtaceae.
UUCGGUUCUGCUUUCAUUUCCUCUGUAUCUUCGUUUAUUUUUCAUCUCCAUUGAAACAAUCCCCUCUGCUGCCAUUUUUCCCUUUUAUUUCCCCUCUCUUCGUGUGACAAUCCCAUUCAGUCAACACCCCCCCCCCCCCCCCCACAAGCAACUUCACGAGGUUGACCCCACCUUCUCCACUUUCACGUUUCAUUUCCCUACAGCACUCACGGUCAACACUCCCUUCACCGAAGCCUUUCGUCGACCACUUCACCUCCACGUUGCGGCCAGCUGCUCCACUCCACCGCCUGCUGCAGCCACGCAUCGUCCCAGCUUCGACUCUGCCACGUCCCGCGACAACCUCGCCGUUCGUCUCUUCCCCAACCAACAACGACGCUGCUUCUCUCUCUUUGUUGCUUCAAUCGGCCCAGUUCGCGUGUUUUCAGCCCACCGAUCCUCCUCCAUUUCCAGCGAAGGCCUGCAGCUCAUGCAUUUCUUUGGCCCAGCGAAUUCAGUCCACAAGCCCAGCAGUUGGGCCCGUCUUAAGCCCAUCCUCGCUUGGCCCAGCUCGUUUGUGGAUCAGCCCAGCAACAGCCCACUUGAAUUCUAGCUCAGCCCAGCGAAAAUCUUCAGUCCAGUCUAGCUUUGAAGCCCACGAAGUCAGCCCAACGUCAGCCCAGCCCAAUUUAGCAACAAGUCACAGCUUGGGCUGAGAUUUGUUGGGCUAGUUCUAGGCCCGGUCCAAGCCUGUUGGUGUCGUCGCGAGCCCAAGUUCGGCCGCUGUCGUGGUGAACCGGUUCUCAUUUUUAAACCGGUGAGUUUAUGUACUAAACUCUUCUUAAUAGGCUAAUGACGUUUAAGGGGUAUUUAGAUUAAUUUAAUUUGAAAUUAGGUGGUUAGUUAGAUUAAAUUAAAAAUUAAAUUAUUUAAUUAUGCAUGUUAGGUGGUUAGAACGGCUUAGAUAUGGACUAGAUAAAUUGUAUUAUUUAUCUAGUUGGGUUCGGAAAUUUUCUGGGCUCGUUUCGAUAUUUAUUUAGGCAUUUUUGGCCUAAGUUAGUAUUUUUAGAAUUUAAAUUAUUUAUUUAAUUAAUUUCCAUAAUUAUUUAAUUAUUAAAUAUUUUCCCGAAAUUAGGUCGGGAUAGCCAGUGACCAUAAUUUCAUGCUGAUUGUAAUGGUAUGCGUGGUUUAUUUAAUUGAGUGUUGAUUUGUACAAAUUAAAUGAAAAUUUUAAUACUAGGUAUUUAUUCCAAAAAUAGAGUAAUUUUGGUAUUUAAUCAGAAAAUGCUAGGGCAUCAUUUUUUAACACCGAAAAGGUUUUCGGACACCAUAUAAAUAGUGGGAUUUUCUAAAAGAAAAAUAUUGCAUUUUUGGCUCAGACCGACUAUGUACCCACACACGAUUAUUUCUAUCAGGUAUUUUUAACAUGGAGAAAUUAUGCUAAGACAUUACUUUAAUUGAGGAAUUUAAGUGCGAAACACAAUACCUUUAGCCAGGAGUGAAUAAUUGUGUAAUGGUUUAUAGUCAGGGCAUGUUAACUAUGGGGAAUUGAGAUGAUAUGUGUCGGGUUGAGGAAACCCGAUGGGUCGUGCGAGUCACUUCUAGUGCCUUAUAUCAUUGCUUAUUGUAAUAAAAGGCUAAGUGUUACAUGGCGACCAAAGUUGCAUGAGAAUUACCUCUAGUGCCUUGUAGUAUUGUUAUGUAUAGUGAAGGGUUAGGUGCUUCACGAUAGUAAGAUCUCAUAUGAGUUACCUCUAAUGCCUUAUACUAUUGCUUUUUUAUAGUAAAUGGCUAAGUGCUACACGAUAGCGAGACUUCAUGUGAGUUACCUUUAGUUCCUUGAGUCUAAUUUUGAGUGGGAAUGUUGAAUUGGAAUGUUGAGAGUAAUUAUCGAGUAUAGAUGGAACCAUCGAUAUGAUUGACCGCGCCUGAUUAUGGAACAAAAUUGUGUGACACGGAAUGUGACGUGUCAUAACGAUUUGGCCUUAUAAUCGGAACUCUUGUGAAUUGAUUGAUUAAUUGAUUGACUAAGAUUGAAUGGGGCAUUCCAAAUGCUUGGGUGUUGUUAUUGCACUUAUGUGAUAUGUGAUUCGUGCUAAUAUGUAGAAAGGAUCUGAGAUGAGGUAAGUCUCAUUGAUUGUGUGAUUAUGUGGUUAGGACGAUUCUUGGCGUAUUUCCCUCCUAAUCGGGGUUUAGAGCGUGAACUCGUUAAGAUUUAUAUAUCACCCCGUCGUGGGCUCAAUUUUCAGGGCCGUAGAGUGGAGGACCCGAAGCCGAGCUGUGGUGA